RNAcentral lists this ribosomal RNA (496 nucleotides) under uncultured bacterium. RNAcentral describes it as "partial 16S ribosomal RNA". It matches the Rfam family "Bacterial small subunit ribosomal RNA", at positions 28 to 506 of the family's 1533-position model. The record is from RNAcentral.
GAUGAACGCUGGCGGCGUGCCUAAUACAUGCAAGUCGAGCGAACAGACGAGGAGCUUGCUCCUCUGACGUUAGCGGCGGACGGGUGAGUAACACGUGGAUAACCUACCUAUAAGACUGGGAUAACUUCGGGAAACCGGAGCUAAUACCGGAUAAUAUAUUGAACCGCAUGGUUCAAUAGUGAAAGACGGUUUUGCUGUCACUUAUAGAUGGAUCCGCGCCGCAUUAGCUAGUUGGUAAGGUAACGGCUUACCAAGGCAACGAUGCGUAGCCGACCUGAGAGGGGGAUGGGCCAAAUGGGAACUAGGACGGGGUCCAGACCCCCACGGGGGGCAGCAGUGGGGAAUUUUCCGCAAGGGGCGAAAGCCUGAAGGGGAAACGCCGGGGGAGUGAUGAAGGUCUUGGGAUCGUAAAACUCUGUUAUUAGGGAAAAAAAAAUGUGAAAGUAACUAUGCACGUCUUGACGGUACCUAAUCAGAAAGCCACGGCUAACUACGU